RNAcentral lists this ribosomal RNA (448 nucleotides) under uncultured bacterium. RNAcentral's name for it is "bacterial SSU rRNA". It matches the Rfam family "Bacterial small subunit ribosomal RNA", at positions 331 to 794 of the family's 1533-position model. The record is from RNAcentral.
CCAGACUCCUACGGGAGGCAGCAGUGGGGAAUAUUGGGCAAUGGGCGCAAGCCUGACCCAGCAACGCCGCGUGAAGGAAGAAGGCUUUCGGGUUGUAAACUUCUUUUGACAGGGAAGAGCAGAAGACGGUACCUGUCGAAUAAGCCACGGCUAACUACGUGCCAGCAGCCGCGGUAAUACGUAGGGGGCAAGCGUUAUCCGGAUUCACUGGGUGUAAAGGGAGCGUAGACGGCCAUGCAAGCCUGGAGUGAAAGCCCGGGGCCCAACCCCGGGACUGCUCUGGGAACUGUGCGGCUGGAGUGCGGGAGGGGCAGGCGGAAUUCCUGGUGUAGCGGUGAAAUGCGUAGAUAUACGGAGGAACACCAGUGGCGAAGGCGGAUUGCUGGACAGUAACUGACGCUGAGGCGCGAAAGCGUGGGGAGCAAACAGGAUUAGAUACCCCAGUAAU